CGGACGGGUGAGUAACGCGUAGGAAUCUGCCUAGUAGUGGGGGACAACCUGGUGAAAACCAGGCUAAUACCGCAUACGCCCUACGGGGGAAAGGAUGGGAUCUUCGGACCAUUCACUAUUAGAUGGGCUGCGUCGGAUUAGCUAGUUGGUGGGGUAAUGGCUCACCAAGGCGACGAUCCGUAGCUGGUUUGAGAGAACGACCAGCCACACUGGGACUGAGACACGGCCCAGACACCUACGGGAGGCAGCAGUGGGGAAUAUUGGACAAUGGGGGCAACCCUGAUCCAGCAAUACCGCGUGUGUGAAGAAGGCCUGAGGGUUGUAAAGCACUUUCAAUUGUGAAGAAAAGCAUAAGGUUAAUAGCCUUGUGUCUUGACGUUAACUUUAGAAGAAGCACCGGCUAACUCCGUGCCAGCAGCCGCGGUAAUACGGAGGGUGCAAGCGUUAAUCGGAAUUACUGGGCGUAAAGCGCGCGUAGGCGGUUUGGUCAGUCAGAUGUGAAAGCCCUGGGCUCAACCUGGGAACUGCAUUUGAUACUGCUAAGCUAGAGUAUGGUAGAGGUAAGUGGAAUUCCAGGUGUAGCGGUGAAAUGCGUAGAGAUCUGGAGGAACAUCAGUGGCGAAGGCGGCUUACUGGACCAAUACUGACGCUGAGGUGCGAAAGCGUGGGUAGCAAACAGGAUUAGAUACCC
This 691-nucleotide ribosomal RNA is filed under the name uncultured bacterium. RNAcentral's name for it is "bacterial SSU rRNA". It matches the Rfam family "Bacterial small subunit ribosomal RNA", at positions 99 to 787 of the family's 1533-position model. The record is from RNAcentral.